This 71-nucleotide transfer RNA is filed under the name Podospora anserina S mat+. RNAcentral describes it as "tRNA-Und (NNN) (tRNA-Und-NNN-1-1)". It matches the Rfam family "tRNA". From Rfam's summary of the family: Transfer RNA (tRNA) molecules are approximately 80 nucleotides in length. Their secondary structure includes four short double-helical elements and three loops (D, anti-codon, and T loops). The record is from Rfam by way of RNAcentral. Lineage: Eukaryota; Fungi; Ascomycota; Sordariomycetes; Sordariales; Podosporaceae.
AACUUUGUAGUGUAGUGUGUAGUACGUCGGCUACCACGUCGAAGGCGCAGGUUCGAUUCCUGCCGAGGUUC